GAAUUGACGGGGGCCCGCACAAGCGGUGGAGCAUGUGGUUUAAUUCGAUGCAACGCGAAGAACCUUACCUGGUCUUGACAUCCACGGAAGUUUUCAGAGAUGAGAAUGUGCCUUCGGGAACCGUGAGACAGGUGCUGCAUGGCUGUCGUCAGCUCGUGUUGUGAAAUGUUGGGUUAAGUCCCGCAACGAGCGCAACCCUUAUCCUUUGUUGCCAGCGGUCCGGCCGGGAACUCAAAGGAGACUGCCAGUGAUAAACUGGAGGAAGGUGGGGAUGACGUCAAGUCAUCAUGGCCCUUACGACCAGGGCUACACACGUGCUACAAUGGCGCAUACAAAGAGAAGCGACCUCGCGAGAGCAAGCGGACCUCAUAAAGUGCGUCGUAGUCCGGAUUGGAGUCUGCAACUCGACUCCAUGAAGUCGGAAUCGCUAGUAAUCGUGGAUCAGAAUGCCACGGUGAAUACGUUCCCGGGCCUUGUACACACCGCCCGUCACACCAUGGGAGUGGGUUGCAAAAGAAGUAGGUAGCUUAACC
This 533-nucleotide ribosomal RNA is filed under the name Escherichia coli. RNAcentral's name for it is "bacterial SSU rRNA". It matches the Rfam family "Bacterial small subunit ribosomal RNA", at positions 907 to 1440 of the family's 1533-position model. Lineage: Bacteria; Pseudomonadati; Pseudomonadota; Gammaproteobacteria; Enterobacterales; Enterobacteriaceae. RNAcentral also lists the same sequence under 1 other name. The record is from RNAcentral.